GAUGAACGCUGGCGGCGUGCCUAAUACAUGCAAGUCGAGCGAACAGACGAGGAGCUUGCUCCUCUGACGUUAGCGGCGGACGGGUGAGUAACACGUGGAUAACCUACCUAUAAGACUGGGAUAACUUCGGGAAACCGGAGCUAAUACCGGAUAAUAUAUUGAACCGCAUGGUUCAAUAGUGAAAGACGGUUUUGCUGUCACUUAUAGAUGGAUCCGCGCCGCAUUAGCUAGUUGGUAAGGUAACGGCUUACCAAGGCAACGAUGCGUAGCCGACCUGAGAGGGUGAUCGGCCCGACUGGAACUGGGAGACAGUCCAGAUGCCUACGGGAGGCAGCAGUAGGGAAUCUUGCGCAAUGGGCGUAAGCCUGCAGAAGCAACGCCGCGUGAGAGAUGAAGUGCUUAGGACCCUAAAACUCUGUUAUCGGGGAAGAACAAAUGUGUAAGUAACUAUGCACGGCUAGACGGUACCUAAUCAGAAAGCCACGGCUAACUACGUG
Molecule: ribosomal RNA, 497 nt
Filed under: uncultured bacterium
Lineage: Bacteria
Description: partial 16S ribosomal RNA
Rfam family: Bacterial small subunit ribosomal RNA
Source: RNAcentral